UAUAAAUAUACUUAUUUUAUAGAUAUUUAUUAAAAUUAUAUAUUAAAGUUUUAUUUUGGCUUAUUUAAUUUUUUUUUAGUUUGGUUUAUAUGUAAAUUUUUGUAUGAAUUAUAUUAUUCUUAAUGAGAAUAUAUUUAUAAAAAAUUCGCAGUAAUUAAUUUUAAUUAUUGGAGAAAUCUUGAAUUAGCAAUAUUGUUAAGUAUUAGCAAAAUUUGUGCCAGCAGCUGCGGUUAUACAAAAGAUACAAAUAAAUUAUAUUGAUUUAUAAGUUAUUUAUUUUUUUUAUUUAAUAAAUUAAAAAAUUUUAGGUGAAAUUUUAUUUUUUUUUUAUUAAUAUAUAAUAAUUAAAAGAAGCUUAGAAAAUUUAGUUAUAAACUAGGAUUAGAUACCCUAUUAUAUAAAAUGUAUUUAUUAUUUAAUAUCUGAGUAUUAAUAGUUAAAUUCUUGAAACUCAAAAAAUUUGGCGGUAUUUUAGUCUAUUUAGAGGAACUUGUGACGUAAUCGAUAAUCCACGAUGGACCUAACUUAAUUUUGUUAUUUACAAUUUGUAUACCGCCGUUAUUUAAAAAUUUUAUAAGAAUAAUAAUUUUUAUAAUUUUAAAUUAAAAAAUAAAUCAGGUCAAGGUGCAGUUUAUAAUUGAGUGUUACAUGAGUUACAAUAAAUUUAUUUAAAUGGAUUAAAUAUUGAAAUAUAUUUAUAAAGGUGGAUUUAAUAGUAAAUUUUAAAAGAUUAUAAAAUUGAUUUUAGCUCUAAAAUAUGCACACAUCGCCCGUCGCUCUUGUUAAUAAUAUAAGAUAAGUCGUAACAUAGUAGAUGUACCGGAAGGUGUAUCUAGAAUGAC
Molecule: non-coding RNA, 842 nt
Filed under: Micromorphus albipes
Lineage: Eukaryota; Metazoa; Arthropoda; Insecta; Diptera; Dolichopodidae
Source: RNAcentral